Molecule: ribosomal RNA, 406 nt
Filed under: uncultured bacterium
Lineage: Bacteria
Description: partial 16S ribosomal RNA
Rfam family: Bacterial small subunit ribosomal RNA
Source: RNAcentral
AUUGAACGCUGGCGGCAGGCCUAACACAUGCAAGUCGAACGAGUGGCGGACGGGUGAGUAAUGUCUGGGUAACUGCCCGAUGGAGGGGGAUAACUACUGGAAACGGUAGCUAAUACCGCAUACCAUCGGAUGUACCCAUGUGGGAUUAGCUAGUGGGUGAGGUAACGGCUCACCUAGGCGACGAUCCCUAGCUGGUCUGAGAGGAUGAUCAGUCACACUGGAACUGAGACACGGCCCAGACUCCUACGGGAGGCAGCAGUGGGGAAUAUUGCACAAUGGGCGCAAGCCUGAUGCAGCCAUGCCGCGUGUAUGAAGAAGGCCUUAGGGUUGUAAAGUACGUUAAGUGGGGAGGCGUUACCAACAGAAGAAGCACCGGCUAACUCCGUGCCAGCAGCCGCGGUAAUAC